GAAACAGGCACUCUUCUGUGUUACACCCUAAGGCCAUAAAAUGCCAAAAAUAUUUUUGGUCUUUGUUCCUGGCCAUGAAGCCUUUUCUUUUCUUUUUUCUGGUACCAGGGAUCGAACUCAGGACCUUGCACUUGCCAGGCAGACGUGGCACCACUGAGCUACACCCCCGGCCCUAUGAAGCCAUUUCUUACAUUAAAAUGCUUUGCUGGGGACAAGAAAUGGUGUUAGUCCAGACCCAGCUCCCUUAUAUUUCCUAUUUUUUGGUACCAGGGGUCAAACUUGGGACCCUGUGCUUUCGAGGCAGGUGGCGGAACCACUGAGCUACAUCCCGGCCCUCCCUUAUGUUUCCUGCAGACCAAACGUGGAACAUCCUGCAGAUGCCUGAGAUGGAGUGACCCUCUCUGUUGUCCAUGGUGCAGCAGGCAGCAGGUGCAGAUGACCCUGUGGGUGCAGAUGACCCUGUGGUCCAUAACCCUCAGGCCACUCUCCAGUUGCCACCAACAUUUAGCUCACUGUCCUUGAGGUCCUCAGCAGCCUUGAUGCUCCUCCAGCCAUAAAGUCAAGGUGAAGAUACCAAGGGAUUUGCCCACUCCUCCUGGUGGUACCUGCUGUGUCAACGCACAGGGUGGAGGGGACAGAGCUUGCCCGGGAGCCACUUGGCAGGAGACCACACCAGGCCUGCACCAGAGGCCUCCGAUCGUCUCACUGGAAACUACAACUGAGGGGGUGGCCGUUUAGCUCCAUCCAUGGUAUUGCAAC
Molecule: long non-coding RNA, 759 nt
Filed under: Heterocephalus glaber (naked mole-rat)
Lineage: Eukaryota; Metazoa; Chordata; Mammalia; Rodentia; Bathyergidae
Description: lncRNA (ENSHGLG00100050132.1)
Source: RNAcentral